RNAcentral lists this ribosomal RNA (497 nucleotides) under uncultured bacterium. Its description in RNAcentral is "partial 16S ribosomal RNA". It matches the Rfam family "Bacterial small subunit ribosomal RNA", at positions 28 to 507 of the family's 1533-position model. The record is from RNAcentral.
GAUGAACGCUGGCGGCGUGCCUAAUACAUGCAAGUCGAGCGAACGGACGAGAAGCUUGCUUCUCUGAUGUUAGCGGCGGACGGGUGAGUAACAUGUGGAUAACCUACCUAUAAGACUGGGAUAACUUCGGGAAACCGUAGCUAAUACCGGAUAAUAUUUUGAACCGCAUGGUUCAAAAGUGAAAGACGGUCUUGCUGUCACUUAUAGAUGGAUCCGCGCUGCAUUAGCUAGUUGGUAAGGUAACGGCUUACCAAGGCAACGAUGCAUAGCCGACCUGAGAGGGUGAUCGCCCACCCUGGAGCUGAGACACGGUCCAGACUCCUACGGGAGGCCGCAGUAGGGAACGUUCCGCAAUGGGCGAAAGCCUGACGGAGCAGCGCCGCGUGAGUGAUGAAGGUCUUCGGAUCGUAAAACUCUGUUAUUAGGGAAGAACAUAUGUGUAAGUAACUGUGCACAUCUUGACGGUACCUAAUCAGAAAGCCACGGCUAACUACGUG